This is a long non-coding RNA of Lineus longissimus, 405 nucleotides long. RefSeq lists it as uncharacterized. NCBI's taxonomy places the organism in Eukaryota, Metazoa, Nemertea, Pilidiophora, Heteronemertea, Lineidae. The transcript is spliced from 3 exons. The record is from RefSeq and is a predicted model, not a curated record.
CAGGCACAACAAACAUGCCAGGAAAUGGAAACUGAGUAAAGUUUGGAACAACCGCUGUCUAACGUUACAAACAAGUGACCACGAAUAAACCAGGUUUGCCGAAAUGGAUAUGGAUAAUACAUCAACAAACUCUCAAGAUCACAGCUAUUCCAAUCCAGCAGGAAAUGUUAUGAAGCAACCUCCCAAGAGUCACAGAUACUGCUGUGUACCUCACUGCACCAGUCGUGGUUACAACAAAGAUGAUGAGCAUGGUGAAAAAUUGCACCACUUCAGAUUUCCAGAUUUUUUGGUGCAAAUACUAGUAGUACAACUGUAUUGAUGCUUUCUCUUUUUCUGUAUCUAUCAUCCUUGAAAAUACAUACUACUAAUGUCAUUGGCAUUAAAAUAGUUUUGUAAUUUUUUUAC